UCCCAUUUUCCUUUCAUGAAAAAUCUGCAGCCCAAAUUAAUAUAAGGCAGCCCAUUUAAUAAGCAUGCAGAGGCCCGGACUUCAAAUAAAAAUCGCAGCCCAAUCUCAUUAAAAGAAAAGCCCAACACUUGAGCCCAACUAAAACCUAUCUACCCUUCUUCUUCCUCCUUGACACAGCCGCUCCCGCCUCUUUCUUCCCAUCUCCCUCUCUGCUCACUCACUCUCUUCGCACACACACACGGCUGCACAGAAGGCGUCGCCGCCGUGGCUGCGCUUCCAGCGAGGGCGUCCCUCCGGCGCCACCACUAACGUUCCUCUCUCGCCUCCGACAGAACACACACACACGCUCGACAUUCACGACGCCGCGGUUCUUCCUCCGGCGAAGAGUGUCGGCCUCCGAGCUCCCUUGGCCCUAAAUCGGACAGCGAUGACGGGAUUUUCGCCAACCGCCUCUACAGCUUCCUUCCCCGACAAAGGCUGACACCCCCACAUCUUACUCUUUGUCCUUGGCUGAACUGCAACGGCGGAGCCGCUGUGCGCUGGCCUCCCUCAUUCUCUCGACUCUCUCUCUUUCUCUCAAGCUCUGCCGGCGACUGCUGGUGGCUUCAUGCCACCGCCAUCCGCCGACUAACUCCUAGGUACGAUUCCCCCUUCUCUCGCUGGCUCUCCCUUCAGAACCCGCCGGAGCAACGGCGAUGAGCCGCCUCACAGCCCUCGAUUCUCUUCUCCUCCAAUCUCGACUCACACCAACAACACCCCAGGCUCAACCCAAACACAAAGUUCAAGAUUCCUCUUUUAUUCAUUUUCUAUUCUCCUUAUACAUUCAUAAUUCUUGUUUGUAAAACAUUUUCAUGCUCAUCUUAUUCGACCAUGUCAUACCAGAUAUUGAAAUAUAAUAUUCUUUGUGUUUUGCUGCUUAUUAGCAUAAAACAAAUAUGAUGCAUAGUAAAGUAUUGCAAAUACAUAUAUAAUGCAGAGGUGAAAUUAUGCAUGCCGAUUUGCUUAGCUUAAUUAAAACUAGAAGAAUUUGUUGAACACAAAAGUUAGAAGUAAGACCUUUUGUGAGGAUUCUGCUAAAUUGAUUUCUUGAAUGAAUUUAGCUACUGAAAUCCUUGGAGAUCUUUCUUGCGAGAGAAGAGCAUUGAAUUAAAGGGAUUGUGAUUCAUGAAAAUG
RNAcentral lists this long non-coding RNA (1173 nucleotides) under Salvia miltiorrhiza (redroot sage). Its description in RNAcentral is "long non-coding RNA (SMIL_LNC003663)". The record is from RNAcentral. Lineage: Eukaryota; Viridiplantae; Streptophyta; Magnoliopsida; Lamiales; Lamiaceae.